This is a non-coding RNA of Ciona intestinalis (vase tunicate), 840 nucleotides long. The record is from RefSeq and is a predicted model, not a curated record. NCBI's taxonomy places the organism in Eukaryota, Metazoa, Chordata, Ascidiacea, Phlebobranchia, Cionidae.
AGAUUAAAAGACCAAGAGAAAACGAAAGCGCAAGACGAAGAACAAAGACGAAGACGCCAAUAUAAGGAUGCUGGUUUGAGGUGUUUGUAGGUUUAAGUGUGUAUAGGCCUAAUAUAGGGUGUACGCGCGAAGAAAGAAGAUCAAAGACGAAGACGCCGCUAAGGGAUGUCGGUUUCAGGUGGUUUAGGUUUAGUGUUUAAGUAUGAAUGUGUUUGUAUGUGUUAUAGGUGGUGCACUCUUACAGUGUUGCCAGCUACAUUUGCUGGACCUAAUCUUGCCAGCUAAUGCAAAUGAAUUGUUGCAACAAUCUUACUUGAUAAAGAAUGGCAUCUACUGUAGUGUUCAUUUCUUUAAAGUGUUUUACCUGUCGGGACUUGAAUCUUACAGCGGUUUUGUAUUGUCUCUGUUAGCUUUGCGAGAACUCUUGUCUUGGUACACAUAUACUCGAGUAAUAUCAACGCGCAUUAUAAUAUUUACACUUAACUUUUAGUCCCCUUUCUCUGCUUGUUCAAUUAAUAUAAAUACAAUUUAAAAGUUCCCACGCGAAGUUAAUCUUCGUUUUAUUUUGACACAACAUCGCGUUUGGUGUAAUUGGGACGACGGCCACGUCACAAUUACGCUUUACGUCGAUGCGGUGGGUCAGCAACGUCAUGACCCUGCGUUCGGUGCGGUUACGUUACGGUCGGUUUAGUUACGUUACAACUGCGGGUUUGUUACGUGGACGUCGCCGCUUUGCGGUUCGUAACAGCCACAGUAUGUCGUAACGGUCGAUGCGGUGCGUAACAGCCGGACGAUAUUAUAUUGUGUGAAGAUACGACGAGAGUAUCGCGGUACCAAGAU